AGUAACACAUGAUCAACUUAACCUAUGGAGAAAAAUAACCUCGGGAAACUGAGGAUAAUGUUUCAUAGUUGAAUAGGCUUGGAAAAGUUUUUCAAUUAAAGGGAUAAGAUAAAUGGUUCUUAUUUGCCAUAGGAUAGGAUCGUGUUCGAUUAUGGUUGUUGGUGAGGUAAAGGCUCACCAAGCCGAUAAUCGAUAGGGGCCGUGAGAGCGGGAGCCCCGAGAUGGGUACUUAGACAGCGACCCAGACCUUACGAGGUGCAGCAGGCGCGGAACCUCCGCAAUACACGAAAGUGUGACGGGGUUACCCAAAGUGUCCUUAUUGGACUGUGGUAGGUGAGUAAUGUCCCCUACUAGAAAGGAGAGGGCAAGGCUGGUGCCAGCCGCCGCGGUAAAACCAGCUCUUCAAGUGGUCGGGAUGAUUAUUGGGCUUAAAGUGUCCGUAGCCGGUUUAGUAAGUUCCUGGUAAAACCAAGCAGCUUAACUGUUUGUAUGCUAGGAAUACUGCUAUACUAGAGGGCGGGAGAGGUCUGAGGUACUA
RNAcentral lists this ribosomal RNA (538 nucleotides) under uncultured archaeon. RNAcentral describes it as "bacterial SSU rRNA". It matches the Rfam family "Archaeal small subunit ribosomal RNA", at positions 92 to 620 of the family's 1478-position model. The record is from RNAcentral.